UAGUCCACGCCGUAAACGAUGAUUACUCGAUAUACAAUUUAUUGUGUGUCCAAGCGAAAGCAUUAAGUAAUCCACCUGGGAAGUACGUGCGCAAGCAUAAAACUCAAAGGAAUUGACGGGGGUCCGCACAAGCGGUGGAGUAUGUGGUUUAAUUCGAUGAUACGCGAGGAACCUUACCUGGGCUAAAUGUUGCUGACAGCACAAGAAAUUGUGUCUUCCUUCGGGACAGUGUACACGGUGCUGCAUGGCCGUCGUCAGCUCGUGCCGUGAGGUGUUGGGUUAAGUCCCACAACGAGCGUAACCCCUAUACUUAGUUGCCAGCAUGUAAUGAUGGGGACUCUAGGUAGACUGCCUGCGCAAGCAGUGAGGAAGGAGGGGACGAGGUCAGGUCAUCAUGGCCCUUAUGCCCAGGGCUACACACGUACUACAAUGGCGUAUACAGUGGGCAGCUACUUGGUAACAAGAUGCAAAUCUCAAAAGUACGUACUCAGUUCGGAUUG
This 500-nucleotide ribosomal RNA is filed under the name uncultured bacterium. RNAcentral's name for it is "bacterial SSU rRNA". It matches the Rfam family "Bacterial small subunit ribosomal RNA", at positions 791 to 1300 of the family's 1533-position model. The record is from RNAcentral.